CCCAUUUUUGCUUCUUCCUGGUACCUUUUAUUUAAAAGAGUAAAGGCCAGUCAGGUGAUCAAGAGUAAUAAUAAUACUCGUGUGUUGUUAAAAUGUAAACUAACGUCAGCAAAUAUGAGGCUAUAGUAAUUCUAUUUCCCUUUUGCUGAAGUCUCUGAAUGAAUCUGAAUGAACCAGAAAAUAUAUAUGUGAUGGAUGUGGCCAAUUGUUACAGACUUCUAUUCUCCUAGCUAGUAUUUGUUUAAUAUUUUGUAUUAUAAUGUUAUAAACAUUCACAUGCCCUUCACUGUAAGCUAAUGCUAUUCAUUGGUGUUUAAUUUCCAGGAGUUGGAGUUGGAGUUGGAGUCUGUUGAAUUACAUGGAGCUGUACAAAAGUAAAGAAAAACAUCAAUAUAUAUAUAUUUUUGUGGAAAACUGUGGAUUACUAUGUUGUUUGGAUGAAGAAAACUAUGGACUGUACUUGUCAAAAAAAUGGACACUAGCUUGGAACGCAGCUGGUGGUCUAAUGGAGGGCUGGACUUGGAACCCAGUCAGCAGCUUACUUAAGCUUGAAGUUCUUGCAGUAAGGUUCUGCAACUCAGUUGUAUUACACAGAACUGCAAACCUGAACGCAACAUGUGAAUAAAAUCAUCUAUAUAUUUUUUUCUGAACUGUGGAUUACUAUGCUGUUUGGAUAAAGAAAACUGUGGCCUGUACUUGUCUGAAAAUGGACACCAGCUUGGUAAGACAUAGGCUAUUUAAUAUGUGACUUGACAAAUGUAUUCAACAUCUACUGUACGUCUGUGUGUUCUUAACAGGUCAGUAGAUACAUCAG
Molecule: long non-coding RNA, 814 nt
Filed under: Sinocyclocheilus grahami
Lineage: Eukaryota; Metazoa; Chordata; Actinopteri; Cypriniformes; Cyprinidae
Description: lncRNA (ENSSGRG00000039796.1)
Source: RNAcentral